This 254-nucleotide ribosomal RNA is filed under the name uncultured bacterium. RNAcentral's name for it is "partial 16S ribosomal RNA". It matches the Rfam family "Bacterial small subunit ribosomal RNA", at positions 524 to 776 of the family's 1533-position model. The record is from RNAcentral.
UACGAAGGGGGCUAGCGUUGCUCGGAAUUACUGGGCGUAAAGGGCGCGUAGGCGGUCGUGACAAGUCACUUGUGAAAUCUCCGGGCUUAACUCGGAACGGUCAAGUGAUACUGUCGGACUAGAGUACAGAAGGGGCAACUGGAAUUCUCGGUGUAGCGGUGAAAUGCGUAGAUAUCGAGAGGAACACCUGCGGCGAAGGCGGGUUGCUGGGCUGAUACUGACGCUGAGGCGCGAAAGCCAGGGGAGCGAACGGG